UACGGAGGGUGCGAGCGUUAAUCGAAAUUACUGGGCGUAAAGGGUGCGUAGGUGGCAAAGUAAGUUACUUGUGAAAGUCCUGGGCUUAACCCAGGUUGGACGAGUGAUACUGCUUAGCUAGAGUACAGGAGAGGGCAGUGGAAUUCCAGGUGUAGCGGUGAAAUGCGUAGAUAUCUGGAGGAACAUCGGUGGCGAAGGCGGCUGCCUGGUCUGAUACUGACACUGAGGCACGAAAGCGUGGGGAGCAAACAGG
Molecule: ribosomal RNA, 253 nt
Filed under: uncultured bacterium
Lineage: Bacteria
Description: partial 16S ribosomal RNA
Rfam family: Bacterial small subunit ribosomal RNA
Source: RNAcentral